GUGGCCAGCCGCCGCGGUAAUACCGGCAGCUCGAGUGAUGGCCGAUUUUAUUGGGCCUAAAGCGUCCGUAGCCGGCCCUGCAAGUUCAUCGGGAAAUCCGCCAGCCCAACUGGCGGGCGUCCGGUGAAACCUGCAAGGCUUGGGACCGGAAGACCCGACGGGUACGUCCAGGGUAGGAGUGAAAUCCCGUAAUCCUGGACGGACCGCCGAUGGCGAAAGCACUUCGGGAAGACGGAUCCGACGGUGAGGAACGAAAGCCAGGGUCUCGAACCGGAUUAGAAACCCCGGUAGUCC
Molecule: ribosomal RNA, 294 nt
Filed under: uncultured bacterium
Lineage: Bacteria
Description: partial 16S ribosomal RNA
Rfam family: Archaeal small subunit ribosomal RNA
Source: RNAcentral